AUUGAACGCUGGCGGCAUGCUUUACACAUGCAAGUCGAACGGCAGCACGGGCUUCGGCCUGGUGGCGAGUGGCGAACGGGUGAGUAAUGCAUCGGAACGUGCCCAUGUCGUGGGGGAUAACGUAGCGAAAGCUACGCUAAUACCGCAUACGCCCUGAGGGGGAAAGCGGGGGAUUCUUCGGAACCUCGCGCGAUUGGAGCGGCCGAUGGCGGAUUAGCUAGUAGGGGAGGUAAAGGCUCACCUAGGCGACGAUCCGUAGCGGGUCUGAGAGGAUGAUCCGCCACACUGGGACUGAGACACGGCCCAGACUCCUACGGGAGGCAGCAGUGGGGAAUUUUGGACAAUGGGGGCAACCCUGAUCCAGCCAUGCUGCGUGAGUGAAGAAGGCCUUCGGGUUGUAAAGCUCUUUCGGCCGGGAAGAAAUCGGCGACUCUAACAUAGUCGCUGGAUGACGGUACCGGACUAAGAAGCACCGGCUAACUACGUGCCAGCAGCCGCCGUAA
Molecule: ribosomal RNA, 503 nt
Filed under: uncultured bacterium
Lineage: Bacteria
Description: partial 16S ribosomal RNA
Rfam family: Bacterial small subunit ribosomal RNA
Source: RNAcentral